RNAcentral lists this ribosomal RNA (334 nucleotides) under Xanthomonas citri pv. citri. Its description in RNAcentral is "partial 23S ribosomal RNA". It matches the Rfam family "Bacterial large subunit ribosomal RNA", at positions 60 to 393 of the family's 2925-position model. The record is from RNAcentral. Lineage: Bacteria; Pseudomonadati; Pseudomonadota; Gammaproteobacteria; Lysobacterales; Lysobacteraceae.
GAUUACCUGCGAUAAGCCUCGUAGAGCUGGAAAUAUGCUAUGAAACGGGGAUUUCCGAAUGGGGAAACCUAACUAUGGUAAUGCAUAGUUGCUUAUGUCUGAAUACAUAGGACAUAAAGCGAGAUACCUUGUGAACUGAAACAUCUUAGUAGCAAGAGGAAAAGAAAAUAAAUAAUGAUUUCUUUAGUAGCGGCGAGCGAACGAGAAAUAGCCCAAACCAUUUUAAAUGGGGUCAUAGGACAGACUACAUAGAGUUACAAAAUUUAAUAAUAGCAGAAGCUUUUGGGAAGAAGCGGCACAGAAGGUGAUACCCCUGUAUGCGAAAUUAUUAAAU